Bactrocera neohumeralis is the source of this 1102-nucleotide long non-coding RNA. RefSeq lists it as uncharacterized. Lineage: Eukaryota; Metazoa; Arthropoda; Insecta; Diptera; Tephritidae. The record is from RefSeq and is a predicted model, not a curated record. The transcript is spliced from 2 exons.
UGGUCCAUUCGGAAAGUCCAAUUUUGGGCAACUUUUUCGAGCAUUUCGGCCGGAAUAGCCCGAAUUUCUUCGGAAAUGUUGUCUUCCAAAGCUGGAAUAGUUGCUGGCUUAUUUCUGUAGACUUUAGACUUGACGUAGCCCCACAAAAAAUAGUCUAAAGGCGUUAAAUCGCAUGAUCUUGGUGGCCAACUUACGGGUCCAUUUCUUGAGAUGAAUUGUUCUCCGAAGUUUUCCCUCAAAAUGGCCAUAGAAUCGCGAGCUGUGUGGCAUGUAGCGCCAUCUUGUUGAAACCACAUAUAAUUUCAUUUAAAUGUUGACCGCGGCUGCGUCUUAGGUGGUCCAUUCGGAAAGUCCAAUUUUGGGCAACUUUUUCGAGCAUUUCGGCCGGAAUAGCCCGAAUUUCUUCGGAAAUGUUGUCUUCCAAAGCUGGAAUAGUUGCUGGCUUAUUUCUGUAGACUUUAGACUUGACGUAGCCCCACAAAAAAUAGUCUAAAGGCGUUAAAUCGCAUGAUCUUGGUGGCCAACUUACGGGUCCAUUUCUUGAGAUGAAUUGUUCUCCGAAGUUUUCCCUCAAAAUGGCCAUAGAAUCGCGAGCUGUGUGGCAUGUAGCGCCAUCUUGUUGAAACCACAUGUCAACCAAGUUCAGUUCUUCCAUUUUUGGCAACAAAAAGUUUGUUAGCAUCGAACGAUAGCGAUCGCCAUUCACCGUAACGUUGCGUCCAACAGCAUCUUUGAAAAAAUACGGUCCAAUGAUUCCACCAGCGUACAAACCACACCAAACAGUGCAUUUUUCGGGAUGCAUGGGCAGUUGGCCACCAAGAUCAUGCGAUUUAACGCCUUUAGACUAUUUUUUGUGGGGCUACGUCAAGUCUAAAGUCUACAGAAAUAAGCCAGCAACUAUUCCAGCUUUGGAAGACAACAUUUCCGAAGAAAUUCGGGCUAUUCCGGCCGAAAUGCUCGAAAAAGUUGCCCAAAAUUGGACUUUCCGAAUGGACCACCUAAGACGCAGCCGCGGUCAACAUUUAAACGAAAUUAUCUUCAAAAAGUAAAUGUCAUGAACCAAUCUAACGUUUCAAAUAAAGAACCGAUGAGAUUUUGCAAA